GAUGAACGCUGGCGGCGUGCCUAACACAUGCCAGUCGAGCGAACAAAUGAUUAGCUUUCUCCUCUGACGUUAGCGGCGGACGGCUGAUGAACACGUGGAUAACCUACCUCUAAGACUUGGAGGAUUUCGGCAAACCGGAGCUGCUACCACAUAAUAUAUUGAACCUCUUGCUUCAAUAGUGAAAGACGGUUUUUCUUUCACUGAGAGAUGGAUCCGCGCCGCAUUAGCUAGUUGGUAAGGUAACGGCGUACCAAGGCGACGAUGAGUAGCCGACCUGAGAGGGGGAUCGGCCAGACUGGAAGUGAGAAACGGUGGAGACGCCUACGGGAGGAAGCAGUAGGGAAUAUUCCGGAACGGGCGGAAGCAGGAUGGAGCAACGACGCGUGGGUGGUGAAGGUCUUCGGCUCGUAAAACUCUGUUAUCGGGGAAGAAGAAAUGCGGAAGUAACUAUGCACGUGUUGACGGUACCUAAAUAGAAAGCGCCGGCUAACUACGUG
RNAcentral lists this ribosomal RNA (497 nucleotides) under uncultured bacterium. RNAcentral describes it as "partial 16S ribosomal RNA". It matches the Rfam family "Bacterial small subunit ribosomal RNA", at positions 28 to 507 of the family's 1533-position model. The record is from RNAcentral.